This 200-nucleotide unclassified non-coding RNA is filed under the name uncultured Cryptococcus. RNAcentral's name for it is "sequence contains ITS2". The record is from RNAcentral. Lineage: Eukaryota; Fungi; Basidiomycota; Tremellomycetes.
UUAAGUUCAGCGGGUAGUCCUACCUGAUUUGAGGUCAGAGUCUAAAGUGCGCGAUGGCAGGUUAUGAGCGGACUCGUACGCAAGGGACAAGACGAAACUUAUUACGUCUGUCACGGAUGCAGAGAGAUCCACUAAGUCAUUUGAGGCGAGCCGUGUGACCGGCAGACGCCCAUGUCCAAGUCCCGACCAGAUCAUAAACC